GACGAACGCUGGCGGCGUGCUUAACACAUGCAAGUCGAACGGAAAGGCCCUGCUUUUGUGGGGUGCUCGAGUGCCGAACGGGUGAGUAACACGUGAGUAACCUGCCCUUGACUUUGGGAUAACUUCAGGAAACUGGGGCUAAUACCGGAUAGGAGCUCCUGCUGCAUGGUGGGGGUUGGAAAGUUUCGGCGGUUGGGGAUGGACUCGCGGCUUAUCAGCUUGUUGGUGGGGUAGUGGCUUACCAAGGCUUUGACGGGUAGCCGGCCUGAGAGGGUGACCGGCCACAUUGGGACUGAGAGACGGCCCAGACUCCUACGGGAGGCAGCAGUGGGGAAUAUUGCACAAUGGGCGGAAGCCUGAUGCAGCAACGCCGCGUGCGGGAUGACGGCCUUCGGGUUGUAAACCGCUUUCGCCUGUGACGAAGCGUGAGUGACGGUAAUGGGUAAAGAAGCACCGGCUAACUACGUG
Molecule: ribosomal RNA, 468 nt
Filed under: uncultured bacterium
Lineage: Bacteria
Description: partial 16S ribosomal RNA
Rfam family: Bacterial small subunit ribosomal RNA
Source: RNAcentral